Molecule: long non-coding RNA, 285 nt
Organism: Aquila chrysaetos chrysaetos
Lineage: Eukaryota; Metazoa; Chordata; Aves; Accipitriformes; Accipitridae
Exons: 4
Source: RefSeq, a predicted model, not a curated record
GGGCAUUGUCAGAUGGAUUUCACAAAAUAAUGGAAUAGUUUGGGUUCGAAGGGACAAUAAAGAUCAUGUAGUUCCAACCCCUCUGCCAUGGGCAGGGACACCUUCCACUAGACCAAGUUGCUAAAAGCGCCAUCCAACCUGGCCUUGAACAAUUCCAGGGAUGGGGCAUCCACAACCUCUCCGGGCAAUAUGUUCCAGUGUCUCGCCACCCUCACAGUGAAGAACUUCUUCCUUAUCUCUAAUCUAAAUCUACUCUCUUUCACUUUAAAUACAUUACCCCUUGUC